GUCAAAGCGUUCAUUAAAGUCGAGUUGGCUUAGGGAUACGUUCGUUGGGUAGGGGAGCGUUCUGUAAGCCUGUGAAGGUGUGUCGUGAGGCAUGCUGGAGGUAUCAGAAGUGCGAAUGCUGACAUAAGUAACGAUAAAGCGGGUGAAAAGCCCGCUCGCCGGAAGACCAAGGGUUCCUGUCCAACGUUAAUCGGGGCAGGGUGAGUCGACCCCUAAGGCGAGGCCGAAAGGCGUAGUCGAUGGGAAACGGGUUAAUAUUCCCGUACUUGGUGUUACUGCGAAGGGGGGACGGAGAAGGCUAUGUUGGCCGGGCGACGGUUGUCCCGGUUUAAGCGUGUAGGUGUGUGUUCCAGGUAAAUCCGGUUCACUUUAACACUGAGGCGUGACGACGAGGCACUACGGUGCUGAAGCAACAAAUGCCCUGCUUCCAGGAAAAGCCUCUAA
This 444-nucleotide ribosomal RNA is filed under the name Salmonella enterica. Its description in RNAcentral is "partial 23S ribosomal RNA". It matches the Rfam family "Bacterial large subunit ribosomal RNA", at positions 1181 to 1624 of the family's 2925-position model. Lineage: Bacteria; Pseudomonadati; Pseudomonadota; Gammaproteobacteria; Enterobacterales; Enterobacteriaceae. The record is from RNAcentral.